RNAcentral lists this ribosomal RNA (465 nucleotides) under uncultured Klebsiella sp. Its description in RNAcentral is "bacterial SSU rRNA". It matches the Rfam family "Bacterial small subunit ribosomal RNA", at positions 338 to 795 of the family's 1533-position model. Lineage: Bacteria; Pseudomonadati; Pseudomonadota; Gammaproteobacteria; Enterobacterales; Enterobacteriaceae. The record is from RNAcentral.
CCUACGGGCGGCAGCAGUGGGGAAUAUUGCACAAUGGGCGCAAGCCUGAUGCAGCCAUGCCGCGUGUGUGAAGAAGGCCUUCGGGUUGUAAAGCACUUUCAGCGGGGAGGAAGGCGUUAAGGUUAAUAACCUUGGCGAUUGACGUUACCCGCAGAAGAAGCACCGGCUAACUCCGGGCCAGCAGCCGCGGUAAUACGGAGGGUGCAAGCGUUAAUCGGAAUUACUGGGCGUAAAGCGCACGCAGGCGGUCUGUCAAGUCGGAUGUGAAAUCCCCGGGCUCAACCUGGGAACUGCAUUCGAAACUGGCAGGCUAGAGUCUUGUAGAGGGGGGUAGAAUUCCAGGUGUAGCGGUGAAAUGCGUAGAGAUCUGGAGGAAUACCGGUGGCGAAGGCGGCCCCCUGGACAAAGACUGACGCUCAGGUGCGAAAGCGUGGGGAGCAAACAGGAUUAGAUACCCCGGUAGUC